UUGGAUACCCAUCUAAGGAAAAUUCUUGCUGCACCCUAGCCAAUCAUACAAGGUCGACCACCCAGCACAAACUGUGGCUUCACACGCAUCUCUGCAAGAGAAGAAGAAGAAGAAGAAAAAAAAAAAGAAAAUUAGGCACGCGAGCCUCGACUGCCAAAUCUUCUCUUCUAGACUCGGCGAGGAAGAAGACAGACCUGCGCCUUAUGGCGUCAGACCCUUCUGGGUGGGUCUGGGUCGACGCUGGAGAAGAAAAGAAAAAGGAAAACGGGACGACCACCCAGCACAAACUGCGGCUUCACAUGCAUCUCUGCGUGUCCCUGGACUGGGAGGGCGACCAAACAACUCGAUGCUCGUCGGCAGAAGGAGGAAUUGGCCAUGGAGAUGUUGCAGGAAAUUAUACCUCAAGUUAUAUAGAGCAUUAUCAGAGGUGCAUGUAUAAGCCACAACGUCAUCUUGCAGAACACCGAGGCAUGAAUUUCAACAUAUCACUUUCAGAUUUUGGCAAACGAGAAAAAUGAAGUCCAGGAAACGUGAUCAGAAAACCUUUCCUUAAAAGGUCCAGAAAACGUAAUCAGCUCAUGCUUGUUUAAAUGACCAAUUUUCUGUCAUUUUUCGUGAUAUUACCACUUCUGAGUGGCGUCAGUUUCACUUUUUGUUUAAGUGGUUGCCUCUUUUCUAGUGGCAUCCGUUUCACAUAUUUGUUGAAACCGAAGUCUUGCUGUUUCAGCAAGACACAGAGACACAGUUUCUCAGAGACACAGUUUCUAGCAGGCUCUGUUUACAGUUUCUCAGAGACACAGAGAGAGGGAAAAAAUAAGGAUGCAUGAUACAGAAACCUCUCCCUCUCGGUCUCUCACAAAGACACAGUUGGAGCACGUGAUUCAGAAACCAGAGAGUUUCAAAAACUAAUUAAGAUUAGCAUUCUUCAUGAUUCAAGUCAAUAUGGCCUAGCAUUCAUUUAUUUUCAGUAGCUACAGCUUAAACAACAUAACCACCGCAGGACGCAGUAGGUUUACUUCAGUAUCCACACUAUCCUUGCUCGUCGGUAGCGGGUUUUAGUUAUGGGCCGGCCACGAUGAUCCUAGCUACUUUGAACGUGCUCUGUUUUAACAUAUUAAAUAUAUACUCUAUGGUUUGUAAAUUGAUGGUUACAUGACGAUACAUUAAAUAACGUGCUCUGUUUUAACAUAUUAAAUAUAUAAUCUAUGCUAUGUAAAUUUCUUCUUGUGAUGAUUACAUGACGAUACAUUAAAUAACAUGAUGCCCUUUUCUGAACUUCUCAUACACACUAUGCAUUUCUUUUGACGGUGAGGGUGACUAGGGGUGUGGAUCUGGCUGUCAGGGAUUUGAGAUCCAGCGACCUUUACGUUAUUGUUAAGAUGGGCCAACAGAAUGAGGCAACAGUAGCGGAGGAGCAAGCACGACAACAUAUAAGGAACUUGCUAAACUUCGAACAGUACCCGGCCCGGCCCGCCAAACGGGCUGGACUGGGCCUGUUUUUUGGUGGCCCAGCCCGAUAAUAUUAUUGGGCUGGGGCCGGGCUUCAGGUCCAACGGGCCGACCCGGGCCGGGUCUUAGCGGGCCAGCCCGGCCCGAUGCCCACCCCUACUUGAAAAAAACCAGGGUAAACUUACCCUGAAAAAAAAGUCGGACCUCGGAGGGUCCUAAUGUUUUACUGUCUUCGAUGCAUCGUUCUUCUUCAGCCACGUCCACCGUUUCUCUUCAGUGCGGUCGUCGAGGGAUUGGGACGGGAGUUACGCCUCGCCAUCUCGGGUGGCCAUUUGCCGUCAAAAAGCUUAGACGACACCUCUGAUGAGUGGCGAUCCUAAUGAGUCUAAGUCUAUCCCCGGAGGUGCAUCUGCCGGCCGAAAUCUGAAGAUUUUCAGCCACCUUUGCUGCUGCUGCCUGUUUUGAAGAGCUUAGCGGAGCCGCAAUUGAUUUCGGCUCCUCCUGAUACCUGAAUAUCGGGCCCGUCGGGUAACUCGUCUCCUUCUAAUGAGUGGUUCUCUUCGUUUGGUGAUUUUGUGGCCCGACUGUGCCUCUUCUUAGGUUUGGCAGCUUGCUAAAUUUUACUUCAUCUUCAUUAAUUUUGGUUACGGCUCUGAACACCCAACUUAUUGAUCUUUUGUAUUUUUUUACAGUUUGCUCAGUAAAUUUAUCUUUUUAAGAAACUGUUAGGGCAUCUGAAUGGUUUUUGGUGGAAUUAAAUAUGGAUUAUGACAGGAAGGCAUGCUUACGAUGUUAGGAACUGAAUUUUCCAUUUUUUCCUUCUACACGUAUACUGUAUAGGCUCCGUCCAUUUUCUUUAUAGAUGUGUCAUAACUAGUUCCAACUUAACCUUCUCUUCUCUCAGUCUUCUCAUUUCUCUUUUUCUCACCUUUCACAUCCAAUUGUUAUCCCUUUUUCACCAAAUUUCUUCUUACAGUAACACUUCAGCGUGCCAAUUUUCAAUUUUCAUUUUUUAAUAUAUUUAACGCAUUUAGUUUGUCAUGAAGUUGUUCCAUCUGAAAUGGUAACCUUCCACAAUUUUUUUAAACCAGCACACAAUGGUAACUUUUUUAGUCUUUGUUUUAUUUUUUCCACCAAACACAGUUAAUUUUUACCUUUAAAAAAAACUUCCUUGCCAUCAAACAUGACUUCAGAUUGGAAGAAGACAAAUUUUUCCUUCUUUAUUUUUUCCAAAAGCUUUUUUUCAUGGUAAAUUUACCAUGCAAAAAUAUACCUUGCCAACAAAUGGAACAUAAAGGUAAAGGAAAAAUAAAAUAAAUGAACAACUAAGAACCGGAGCAUAAAAAAAGUAGAUUUACAUCAUAUAAAAAUAAAAGAAUAAGUCUAGCACUAAGAAAACGUGAAAAGAAGAAUAAAAUAAAAUAAAAAACCAUGCUACCUUUAGUGUUUUUCUGUUUUUUCAAAAAAAUAAUGUUCUUAUAAAUUUUAAAUGGCUAAUUUAUUGAUGGUAUUCCUUUUAUAAAAAAAGAUUUUUUUGUAACUACGCUUGACAUUAUGGGCAGGGGCAAAGGGAAGGGGAGGGCCUUAGCCCCACCCAAGCAGUGGAGCCAAGGUAGGGUCCACACCUCAAAUUUUAAAAAUUUAUAUGUAAAUGUAAAAAGUUUUUGUUUAACUUAUAUAAAAAAAUAAAAAAAAACUAUUUUGGACAUUAUUAAAAUUUUGAAACUAUAGUUUGGCCCCUGUAAUAAAAAAAUAUUGGCUUCGUCCUUACCCGUGGAUAUUUUGACCUACAUACUUUAUCCAUAUGGUGACAUUUUUUAAUUUUUCAAGUUUAGAUUAGCACUUUAAUCUCGUCGCUUUUCAAAAUAAAAAGUAAAAACCAAUAAAAUCAGCUCAAACUUUUGGUCUUAAGAACAAUGAGUUUCGUUCUCUUAACCACACACUCUUUCCUUCCUUUAAAAGUCGUUUGAUGGCCACAAGACAUGCAGCCCUGUCAUGUUUAGUUGUUUUUUUCAUCAUCAAAUGUUGGAUACAAGACUAGUUGGACAGAACGGACGACUGAACGAAGGUAUAAAUAGUUUUUUUGUUCCAUUGUGUCCUGAGCUAACCCCUCAGAACAGACACGACAAGAACCGCCCCCGAUGACCCCGAGCCCUCGACGCCAUCUCCUUCUCCUCCACCUCCGCGCCCAUCUCCCCUGCCUUUCUUCUCCUCUGCCCCCGACCUGGCUUUCUCCUCCAUCUCCGCCCUCGUCUACGCCCCCGAGCUGCCCUAGCCCCGUUGCUCCUUUGCUUCUUCCUCUGCUGAACGAAGUCAAUAAGGGAGUGAUCUGCCCCCAUUGGUCUUUGUCGUUCAUCGAUCUCUUCAGUUGGAAGAAGGAAGAAGGAGAUAAAGACGUGGAGCAUUAUGUUUUCGAGUUAUUGAAGAUUUCAGCGAUGACAGUGAAAGUCGAGAGGUGUUGGAGUUUUCUCCAGUUGCUCGAUGGAGGCAGGUGAUUGAACAGAAAAAAAAAAAAGAAUUGGUGGGUGCAUUAUACAUGUACAAGUAUGAGGUCUCCACGAUGAAACAGAAGUGCCAGAUGCAAAAGACAUUGUAAUUUUAAGAGAUAUUUUGGCUUUUUUUCUUGAAAUUGCACAAGCAUUAUGUGAAGGCUAAGAAUCCAUGAGCGGUUUUUGUUUAGAGUUUUGUAAAUGUAUGUGAGUUUCUUGUUUGAAAAUAUGUUAUUGGGAGGUUUUUUGUGAGCAUGUAUUAAAAUUUGAG
Long non-coding RNA from Nymphaea colorata (pocket water lily), 4209 nucleotides. RefSeq lists it as uncharacterized. NCBI's taxonomy places the organism in Eukaryota, Viridiplantae, Streptophyta, Magnoliopsida, Nymphaeales, Nymphaeaceae. The record is from RefSeq and is a predicted model, not a curated record. The transcript has 5 exons.